RNAcentral lists this ribosomal RNA (301 nucleotides) under uncultured bacterium. RNAcentral's name for it is "partial 16S ribosomal RNA". It matches the Rfam family "Bacterial small subunit ribosomal RNA", at positions 509 to 807 of the family's 1533-position model. The record is from RNAcentral.
CAGUCGCCGCGGGAAUACGAAGGGUGCAAGCGUUACUCGGAAUUACUGGGCGUAAAGCGUGCGUAGGUGGUUGUUUAAGUCUGCUGUGAAAGCCCUGGGCUCAACCUGGGAAUUGCAGUGGAUACUGGGCAACUAGAGUAAGGUAGAGGAUAGUGGAAUUUCCGGUGUAGCAGUGAAAUGCGUAGAGAUCGGAAGGAACAUCUGUGGCGAAGGCGACUAUCUGGGCCAUUACUGACACUGAGUCACGAAAGCGUGGGGAGCAAACAGGAUUAGAUACCCCAGUAGUCCCUGUCUCUUAUAC